AACGAACGCUGGCGGCAUGCCUAACACAUGCAAGUCGAACGAGACCUUCGGGUCUAGUGGCGCACGGGUGCGUAACACGUGGGAAUCUGCCCUUUGCUUCGGAAUAACAGUUAGAAAUGACUGCUAAUACCGGAUGAUGUCGAAAGACCAAAGAUUUAUCGGCAAAGGAUGAGCCCGCGUAGGAUUAGGUAGUUGGUGGGGUAAAGGCCUACCAAGCCGACGAUCCUUAGCUGGUCUGAGAGGAUGAUCAGCCACACUGGGACUGAGACACGGCCCAGACUCCUACGGGAGGCAGCAGUGGGGAAUAUUGGACAAUGGGCGGAAGCCUGAUCCAGCAAUGCCGCGUGAGUGAUGAAGGCCUUAGGGUUGUAAAGCUCUUUUACCAGGGAUGAUAAUGACAGUACCUGGAGAAUAAGCUCCGGCUAACUCCGUG
This 433-nucleotide ribosomal RNA is filed under the name uncultured bacterium. Its description in RNAcentral is "partial 16S ribosomal RNA". It matches the Rfam family "Bacterial small subunit ribosomal RNA", at positions 29 to 507 of the family's 1533-position model. The record is from RNAcentral.